UGUGUCACAAUUGCUCAACAGACAAUAAUAGCGCUAAAUUAGUGCUUCACAGUGGAAUAAUAGACAAGAGCAAAGAGAUCACUAAUGAGCCAUUAUUCCGUAAAUGUUGAAUUGCAAAUUAUUGACGCUAGUCUCAGAGAUGAUCAUUCCCGUUAACUACAGGGACCUUUUGUGAUAACAAUGCCGCCAGCCAUUACUGGUCAUUUACAUGUCACGGUUGGCAUUGCAAUUGUCCGAUUGGAUUUUAUGCAGACACCCGCAUUGUGACACCAUAAAUAACAGAGUCGCUGGAUCCUAGAUCUGUAUUUACAACAGUGUGGCUUAAGCGAAUAUUAUACAGAUUUCACAAUGCAGCGUGUGUUGGCAACCGUAGUCGCAACAUUUUGCUUUGUACUGACACUAAGCGAUGGUAUUGAAGGUGUUCCGAUGCAAGCUUUCCCGCCAAAAUACCCGCGGAUGCUUGAAAACGAGGCUGACGUAAUGAAUCUUCUCAAGCGGCACCCUCCCAAGUUUCUGUCCGCUAAAAGCAUUGGCAGUAACAUUCAGCUGCCAAGAACAGAAAGCAGCGCCUCGAGAUUCGGUGGACUGUUUUUCACCGGCGGAAGCCAUACCCCUAAUGAGGAGUUAUGCGACACUUGCUACCACUUCAACAUCGAUAAUUGUGAUCUGGGGUGCAUUUCGUCAGAGAACAGCGAUCUGCGAUUUCAGUCCUGCCUGGAGACAUGCGCACAGCAAUUCAGGGAUUGCUACCUCGAAGAUUGUCUCAAUGGAACAUCAUGAGUGUAGGGCGGGAACAAUUUUGUCUUGUUGAAACAAUUAUAUUAUAAAUAGACCACUGAGCUAUCCAAUUUUUGUUAGUGAUUUUUAAAGAACGGAACACUAAUGAAUUUUGCCUUCUUUUAAAUUCGUGUGUAAGAAAUUGACAUGCCGUCGAAUAACGCUGAAUUAAAUAUUCAGGGAGGUUCGGCGUCAUGCCAAGAAUCCUCAUAGAUAUUAUAAAAUAUUACUUAUAUCGAACAAGAAAGUGUGUGUUUUUUAUGAGUAAAACUCGUUCCGUUUACACAAAAGUGUACAUGGUGUGUAGCAUGAUGGUUUCAAAACAAUUGCGAGUACAUUGUGGGAUAUCAUUUUUUAAAUACAAGUAGUGACCAUCACAUUGCUCGUAACCAAUGUUAUUCUUAACUCUGUUUUUGAGUAAAAUGUGUAUUAUCAUUAUCCUUGACACCAAUUACCCAAAUAAAAUCCUUAAGUACAAUUUCA
Mya arenaria is the source of this 1260-nucleotide long non-coding RNA. RefSeq lists it as uncharacterized. The transcript has 2 exons. Lineage: Eukaryota; Metazoa; Mollusca; Bivalvia; Myida; Myidae. The record is from RefSeq and is a predicted model, not a curated record.